Long non-coding RNA from Balaenoptera musculus (blue whale), 1264 nucleotides. RefSeq lists it as uncharacterized. The record is from RefSeq and is a predicted model, not a curated record. The transcript is spliced from 2 exons. NCBI's taxonomy places the organism in Eukaryota, Metazoa, Chordata, Mammalia, Artiodactyla, Balaenopteridae.
CCGGCCUCCGCCCGGCUCGCCGGGCCGGCCUCCGCCCCCCUCCGGACUGCAUGAGCCCGACCCGCCAGAGGCCAGAGUCGGCCGCAGCGCCCCCAUCGCUGCUCACCGCCCCUCACCGCGCGCUACCCCGAGCCCCCUGCAGCGGCGAAAGGAUUUGGCUCGGCAGCUCCGGCCUAAUUCGUGCGCCCGGAGCGGCGAGUCUGGCCACGAAAAUGAGCCCUCCAGUCUUUCCCGCCCUGCGUUCCCACUGUAUACAGUCAGGUUUUUAAAAUAUAUUAAAAGACACGCUUAGGCCGUAGGGUAGGCAAAGCGGGCGCCCCGGCAGUGCGCCCCCGCUGCGGCGGAUUUGGGAGGGACAGAUUGUUCCCGGGGGCUGGUGUGUUAGAAAGCGUCCUCCGGGCGGGCUUCUCCUGGAUGGUAGUAAGAACAGACGCUGGGAGGGCUCGGGUGGGCUCUGGGCCCGAAACCCGCGCCCCCAGCCUGAGGGCUCGGUGUCUCCGUUUCUGUUUGCAAUCCUGGUGUGGUCCAGGCGGACAGGGCAAUGCUGGCGGGGCGCAGCCCGCAGUCCCAUGGCUCGCACGUUAACAGGGACUGUAAUCAACAGGCAAGCUGCCACACCAGCCCACCGACACCUCCUGGCCAGACGCGGUUUCCAGGCGAGCGGAGGCUUCCUUCCGCACGCUGGGUGGGGUGGGAUGCUGUAGGCCAGAGAAAACACUAGAAGCGAUGGUGCCAGAGAGGAAAGACAAAGCAUCUCCGAGUCACCUCGGGAGAGAGACACAGAAGUGGCAGCUUGCAAGGCUAUCCACUUUGUCGACUUUCUUACUAUACAAGGUCAUUGUUCAGUAAGGCUUGGUGGUACACCUUGCUGCAGCUUUCAUCUCUUCUCUCCAUCAGCCGUGCUGAGACAGUUUCUCACCAGACAUCAGCCCAGGGGAACCACCGUCUCCACAACUUCCAAAGACAAAGCAGCAGGAGGACCCAUUUGAAAAGCCCACCAUUUACAAUAUAGAGGCACUGAGGGCAAAGGACUAAACUUCACCUUCAGAUGCCUCAAACAGAAUGGUCCUUGCAAGGAAUCUGAAAACUGGCAGUGAGUGUGUAAAUACCAAACUGACCUCCCUCUAAAGGAGCAAGUGACACCAAUUUCAAAUUUCCCUCCACCGAUAAUGGAAAGGAGCAGACGAGCAAGGCUUACAUCCUGUCAUCCACCAGUGCAUGGAAGCACUAACCAGGCUUUGGAAUAAAUGGGCAUCUUUCCUUC